UAGGGAAUCUUCGGCAAUGGGGGCAACCCUGACCGAGCAACGCCGCGGGAGUGAAGAAGGUUUUCGGAUCGUAAAGCUCUGUUGUAAGAGAAGAACGUGUGUGAGAGUGGAAAGUUCACACAGUGACGGUAACUUACCAGAAAGGGACGGCUAACUACGUGCCAGCAGCCGCGGUAAUACGUAGGUCCCGAGCGUUGUCCGGAUUUAUUGGGCGUAAAGCGAGCGCAGGCGGUUUAAUAAGUCUGAAGUUAAAGGCAGUGGCUUAACCAUUGUUCGCUUUGGAAACUGUUAAACUUGAGUGCAGAAGGGGAGAGUGGAAUUCCAUGUGUAGCGGUGAAAUGCGUAGAUAUAUGGAGGAACACCGGUGGCGAAAGCGGCUCUCUGGUCUGUAACUGACGCUGAGGCUCGAAAGCGUGGGGAGCAAACAGG
Molecule: ribosomal RNA, 429 nt
Filed under: bacterium
Lineage: Bacteria
Description: partial 16S ribosomal RNA
Rfam family: Bacterial small subunit ribosomal RNA
Source: RNAcentral